UUGGAUCUUGGUACCUUGGUUACCUCUUGUCACUUUGCAUGGUUGUGUUGGUAUCCUUUGAGACGUUAAAGACGCUUGUGUAACUCGCCCACUUGUAUGGAUUGUUUGAUCACCUGGCACUCUUGUUGGGACCUUGUCCUUCUUGUGGCUGUGACUUUGUCACUCUUGGCAUGCCUCUUGAUUCGGAUCAUUUGCCAUCUUGACUCUGG
This 209-nucleotide long non-coding RNA is filed under the name Solanum tuberosum (potato). RNAcentral's name for it is "long non-coding RNA (STUB_LNC004555)". Lineage: Eukaryota; Viridiplantae; Streptophyta; Magnoliopsida; Solanales; Solanaceae. The record is from RNAcentral.